GACUCUGCCCAAUGAAUAUUUUUAAUGGCUGCAGUAAUUUAACUGUACAAAGGUAGCAUAAUAAAUUGUUUUUUAAAUGAAAACUUGAAUGAAAGAGGUGAUGAAAUAUAAUCUUUUUUUAAAUUAAUAUUUAAAAUUUUAUUUUAAAUAAAAAUAUUUAAAUUAAAUUAAGGGACGAGAAGACCCUAUAGAAUUUAAUAAUAUAAUUUUUUUAAUAUAAGUUAAAUUAAUAUUAUUURUUUGGGAGGAAUUUUAAAAUUUUAAACUUUAAGUGUAGAUUACAUAUGUAAAUGAUUUAUGUGAUUUUUUAUUUAGAAAUUUUAAAUUAAAUUACCUUAGGGAUAACAGCGUAAUA
RNAcentral lists this ribosomal RNA (355 nucleotides) under Epyris sp. RNAcentral describes it as "partial large subunit ribosomal RNA". Lineage: Eukaryota; Metazoa; Arthropoda; Insecta; Hymenoptera; Bethylidae. The record is from RNAcentral.